Panicum virgatum (switchgrass) is the source of this 2479-nucleotide RNA transcript. It is a transcript of the gene named cycloartenol synthase-like, with no coding region annotated. The record is from RefSeq and is a predicted model, not a curated record. The transcript is spliced from 16 exons. Lineage: Eukaryota; Viridiplantae; Streptophyta; Magnoliopsida; Poales; Poaceae.
UCGGAGGCGUGGCGACCGGGCGGCGGCGCGGCAGUGCUCCAGCAGGCGCGGCCCGCGGCAUGGUCCCUCGCCGGCGGGACCAAGUGGUGGGCGCCCCUGCCGCGCGUCCUCGCGGCGCCCCCUCGCCGGCGCCCCCGCGCUCCGGAUCUCGCCCUCCCCGCAGUGGCCGGCGGCGUGGAUCCGCCUCCUCCCUGGCCGGCUCGGGUCCAUGGCAUCCAUGGCCGGCGAGGUCCUCCUCUCUCACCUCCGACCGGCCGCCGGCGCGUGCGUCCUCCUCCAUCCUCCGGCGCCCGUCCUCCUCCGCGCGCGGAUCUGGGCGCCAGCGCUGCUGUUGUCUUUGGAGGCGGGGGCCGUGGUACCCAUCCAUGCUGCGGUACCCUAGGACGGCUGUGGUCGCCGGCAAAACAGGAGAAGGAGGAAGAAGCGUGUGCAACCUGGAGGCGGCGGAGGUGAGGGAGAAUGUGACGGUGUUUGGCGGUGAUCGAGCUGACAUGCGUCGCGUGUGCGGGUUCGGUGGAGAAGGCCAUGAAGCGUCUCCCAGGUCGAUCUGUGCGCUGCCAUCAUCGACAUCCUUGGUCUUCUAUGCCUUCGUCGGCCAAUGCUGUUUUCUACCGAUUCAAUCCAUUGAGCUCCUUGUCAAAAUCCAUGGCCGAUCCAGUUGAUGGUUUGAGCAUGCACAACAUGGUGAGGGCCGAGGGCUGAGGGCCGCGAAUGCUAUCAUCCUGGAGGCGGGAGCAGGCAUCCACUUGUAAACUGAGGGGCUUCAGCACCAAAGGGAGGAUGUGGUGUCAUUGCCGAAUGGUGUAUUUGCCAAUGUGUUACAUUUACGGGAAGAGGUUUGUCGGCAGAAUCACGCCACUUGUGUUGGAAUUAAGAAAGGAACUCUUCAAAGACCCUUACAGCAAGAUUGAUUGGGACAAGGCCCGCAAUCAAUGUGCUAAGGAAGAUCUGUACUAUCCACACCCAUUCGUUCAAGAUGUCUUAUGGGCUACACUCCAUAAAUUUGUCGAACCAGUUAUGUUGCAUUGGCCUGGGAGCAAAUUAAGAGAGAAAGCUCUGGAAACUGUCAUGCAGCACGUUCACUAUGAAGAUGAGAACACUCAGUACAUUUGCAUUGCUUCUGUAAACAAGGUAUUAAAUAUGCUUGCUUGCUGGAUUGAAGAUCCAAACUCAGAGGCAUUCAAGCACCACAUUCCGCGAGUCUAUGAUUACUUGUGGCUUGCUGAAGAUGGCAUGAAACUGCAGGGUUAUAAUGGCAGCCAGCUUUGGGAUACAGCUUUCACAGUUCAAGCUAUUGUGGCUACCAACCUUAUUGAAGAGUUUGGUCCCACCCUUAAACUAGCACACGACUACAUUAAGAAUUCACAGGUUCAUGAUGACUGCCCUGGAAAUCUGGAUGACUGGUACCGCCACACAUCUAAAGGUGCAUGGCCAUUCUCUACUGCUGAUCAUGGUUGGCCUAUAUCAGAUUGCACUGCAGAGGCACUGAAGGCCUCAUUAUUGUUAUCAAAGAUAUCUCCUGCAAUUGUUGGCGAGUCGCUGGAAGCUAAAAGAUUUUAUGAUGCUGUCAGCUGUCUGAUGUCUUAUAUGAAUGAUAAUGGUGGUUUUGCGUCAUAUGAACUCACAAGGUCUUAUGCCUGGCUGGAGCUUAUUAAUCCUGCUGAGACCUUUGGCGACAUUGUGAUUGAUUACCCGUAUGUUGAAUGUACAUCAGCAGCGAUUCAGGCCCUGACAUCGUUCAGAAAGCUCUACCCUGGGCACCGCAGGAAAGAGGUUGACAACUGUAUCAGCAAAGCUGCUAGUUUCAUUGAGAGAAUUCAGAAAAGCGACGGCUCAUGGUAUGGCUCUUGGGCUGUCUGUUUCACCUACGGCACUUGGUUUGGUGUGAAGGGAUUAGUUGCUGCUGGUAGGACAUUCGAGAACUGUCCUGUAAUCAGAAAGGCAUGCGAAUUUCUGUUAUCAAAAGAACUUCCUUCUGGUGGUUGGGGAGAAAUCUAUUUGUCGUCUCAAGACCAGAUUGCGGCACAAGUGGCACUUGGUAAUUCUUGCCUUCUUGGAAUGCUUAACUCGGUAGUGAGUAAAAAACAAUGGGGUUUACACCAAUCUCAAAGGCAAGCGAGCUCAUGCAGUGAACACUGGUUGGGCCAUGCUGUCACUGAUUGGUGCAGGACAGGCUGAGAGAGAUCCAACACCUCUACACCGAGCAGCAAAGGUUUUGAUCAACUUGCAAUCAGAGGAUGGAGAAUUUCCUCAGCAAGAAAUCAUUGGAGUCUUCAACAAGAACUGCAUGAUCAGUUACUCCCAGUGGAGGAACAUCUCAAUUUGGGCUCUGGGAGAGUACCGGUGCCAAGUCCUGGGCGCUGGCAAGCAGUAGUGUUCCACUCCAUGGCUCUAUGCUGUGUUGGAAUUUGUGGGCUUGGUCUAAUAAUAUUUCAGCUAUUUCAAAUAAAAUCUCAAAGGCUCAUAUGGGCAUGAGGAA